GCCGUUUAUCGUCCAGGACCCACAUCCUCCUACCUCACCCAGGGCUACUGCCCAGCGCCUGAUGAGGAAAGCCACAAUUGCACUCACAGAGGAUGAGAAAGAGGCAAAAAGCAGAGAUUCUGGAACCACAUGAAGUAGGAUUUGAAAAUCUGUUCCUUUUCUUACAGGAGUGGCCAUAUAAAUUAUCCAAAGCAGGACACUUCUGAGAGUAAAAGGGAAAUUAAUAAUUAUUCCCAGGCAAUAGACAUAAACUGAGACUGUCCCAGGCAAACUGGAUGUGGGAUCAUUGUAGCAGAUGCUGAUGGUGACCUUAGUUCUCUGGUGCUGAGAGCUGCUUACCGCAAGCACCUGUGGAGCAUGAGCAGCCUGAGCACAGGACAAGCAGGAAGGGUGGAGGGUUAAUGUCCCUGAAGCAGCAUCAACCAAUGGCAGAUAAGGGAUCUAUAUAUGAACACCGUAGUGUUCUUGCCUCUAGGAUGGAAUAGUAACUCUUAAGAGUGUUCUGCUCUAUCUCCGAGAGUUCCCCAGCAAGACAGAGCCCCAAUUGCUCAUCAUGCACUUGGGCAAACAGCUGAUAGGAGUUCAUUUUGUGAAGCUGUCACGAGUUUUCCAGUAGACCAUGAGCUUGCUGAUGGCAGGAGCCUGCCUGUCCUUGAUCCUUGUUUCUGUGGGGUCUAUCCCAGUGCCUGGCACAGUGGCUUUGGAGAUGGAAGGAAUAGAGGGAGCCCAACAUCAAGGUGGAGCCUGUUGUUGUUCAUAUCCGGUGGAUGGAGAAACUAAGGAAACAGAUGCUUUGAGAGUCUAACUCUCCCAAAUGCACACAGCCAUUGUGUGAGAAGCCAGCACCUGACUCCAGAACAGUGUCUCUCCCAAGCUCUCACUCUGCAGGUCCGUGAUCCAGACUCAAAGUAAUUGGGAUCAUGUGGGACACCUGGAAGUCACAACUCCCUAUGAUUUGGAUGCAGAUCCCACCUCUCUGGAUCCUGCCCAUCUGUAGAUAGCAAUUGUACUUCUCUAGAAGAAGGUUCCAGUUCUCAUCCCUG
Molecule: long non-coding RNA, 1043 nt
Filed under: Homo sapiens (human)
Lineage: Eukaryota; Metazoa; Chordata; Mammalia; Primates; Hominidae
Description: non-protein coding lnc-INSC-2:1
Source: RNAcentral